UACGUAGGGUGCGAGCGUUAAUCGGAAUUACUGGGCGUAAAGCGUGCGCAGGCGGUUUUGUAAGUCGGAUGUGAAAUCCCCGGGCUCAACCUGGGAAUUGCAAUCGAGACUGCAAGGCUUGGGUGCGGAAGAGGGAAGCGGAAUUUCCGGUGUAGCGGUGAAAUGCGUAGAUAUCGGAAGGAACAUCAGUGGCGAAAGCGGCUUCCUGGUCCAGCACCGACGUUCAGGCACGAAAGCGUGGGGAGCAAACAGG
Molecule: ribosomal RNA, 253 nt
Filed under: uncultured bacterium
Lineage: Bacteria
Description: partial 16S ribosomal RNA
Rfam family: Bacterial small subunit ribosomal RNA
Source: RNAcentral